UGAUCACACACCAAGUCACACAGAACAGGCGAACAAUACUAAAAGCCCACCUGAGCUUCUUCACUGGCAGCAAUUCACGGCUGAAAUUUACACCCGUGGAGGUAGGCCAGCAGGUGGGUCCGACAGGAUUCCGGCCGAUGUUUUCAGAGAGAGAGAAUAAUAUAGGAGACACCCGCAGUGCACUACAGAGCAAACCAAAUUUUGCACAAAUCCAUAAUUUGGCCGUUGAGGUCUGCAGUUUUGCAACAUUUAAAGUUCUGUUUCAGUAUUUAGAUUAGGUUCUGAGUGACGGACGGAAGGAAGAAAGGAAGAGAAAGAAAUAGAAAGAAACACUAGUUAUAAGUCUUGUACAUCGACUUUUAAGUCAUUACCUACCAAACUUACUCUGUGCAGGUGCUAACGCCCCUUUUCUCCAAACGAUUCUGUUCCUGACUCGAUGGAGGUCAAACUGCACUUUAUGGCCAGGAGGAAAACAAACUGCAGCUGGACCGAACAGGGAACAGCUCUUCCUGCCUGUCUCGAGAACUUUCAUGGAUUCCCGAAGGGUUUCCAGGAAAGAAGACACGGUCACGUCUCUCCUGCCCAGAAAGUUGGGACCAGAUCCAGCUGGGAGAGGUUGAGAAGGGGGUGCCUCAACCAGAGGACCAAAAUGAGUGGGGAGCCUCCUUUAAAAGAGAGGCCCUGCCCAGCUCUGGAUCAACCCCUGCCCCGCCCAGCUAUGCAAGGAAGGGUCUUGAGUGUGCCUAGCCGGGCCAGCUUAUACGGGUCGGGCCAGCCCAAUUUAGGCACUGAAAAGGAACUCGGGAACAUGUUGCCUACGGCUGGCAUCCUUUGCAGGAAAGCUGGCACAGGAGAUUUUGCAAGAACUUGAAAGCUGCCAUCGUGCAGCCCAGCACUGUCGUCCCUUCCUUUGGCCCACACAGGCUCUGUCACUAGCAGCCAUUUAACCCUCCCGUCUGGGGUCCUGAGACUAGUUUGGUCAAGGAAGUAAACUUUUCCAUUUUGGGAGCGCUCCGUCUUUUCCCCUGAACUACAGCAGAGAACUCUCAAGUAUCUCACCAAAUGAGAAAGGCCAGGAUGCCUUAAGGCAAAUCCAUGGCACUUAUUAAACCCAUUGAAAGCUGUGGUGUUGGUACAACCUCAAGGCAGCGGGGAGAAUUGAAUGCAGCAGGAAAAGAGGAAGACCCCCCAUAAUAGAUGGAUGGACUCCAUCAAGAAAGCCACAGCCUUGAAUUAAGGACAGGAUCUUUUCGAAGUCACUAAUUCCUAGGGUCACCCUAAGGCAGAAAUGGCUUCCUGGCACAUAUCGCCAGCCCAG
This is a non-coding RNA of Pogona vitticeps (central bearded dragon), 1318 nucleotides long. Lineage: Eukaryota; Metazoa; Chordata; Lepidosauria; Squamata; Agamidae. The record is from RefSeq and is a predicted model, not a curated record.